GGGAUGGGGCUCAGUGGCAGAGUGCUUGCCUUGCAUGUGUGAGGCACUGGGUUUGAUCCUCAGUACCUCA
This 70-nucleotide transfer RNA is filed under the name Marmota monax (woodchuck). Its description in RNAcentral is "tRNA.Ala". The record is from RNAcentral. Lineage: Eukaryota; Metazoa; Chordata; Mammalia; Rodentia; Sciuridae.